RNAcentral lists this long non-coding RNA (1056 nucleotides) under Anas platyrhynchos platyrhynchos (common mallard). Its description in RNAcentral is "lncRNA (ENSAPLG00000023421.1)". The record is from RNAcentral. Lineage: Eukaryota; Metazoa; Chordata; Aves; Anseriformes; Anatidae.
AUGUUCUCAAUAACUUCUCAACCCUUUUGUACUUCUGGGGUCCUGUUAUUUUAUCUCUGCAAGAAGGGCUUUCUCCAUAUAGUUUCAGAAAAUAGAGGCAUCCUCUCUCAGUUUCCAGAUGCAAAAAGCAGAAUGGAAGAUCUGGAGAAAAAUAAAAAAUCCAUGAAAGAUUUUGAUUGUUUUCUACCCACUAGCAUUUUCAAAUUAAAGUACAUAGAAUGGAAAUUUUCAUUAGUCACAGUUUCUGGAGAAAUGGUUAUUAAUAAAUCCCCCAAACUGGAACAACAACAACAAAACAACCAACAGAAGCCAUUUCAUACAAAUAAAAUCAAGUCUAUACAAGGAGCUGGGUCUGUAAAAGCAGAGGGAAGCCUAACAGAGCAUGCCUUUGACGACAAGUUCUGGUCAUUAAUUGCUGAUGCUGUCAAACUCUGGGAAGUGUUGGCACCCAACCCUGAGCCCCAAUGCCAGGGAGUAGGUCUAGGCUGGAUCAGCUGCGUUUGUUUGAGAAUUGAUCUACUGGGUCUGGAGCUGAACAAAGACAAUAACAGACCAUGGUUAAACUACCAAAGUGUUGUCACAUCGCUUGUCCCAGCCCCAUCUUCCCUUCCUGCCACCUUCAGUACCUUGCAGGCAUAUUCUGACAUCUCUGCUCUCCAUCCUCCAGCUCUUCACAUCUCCUGCUCUGUUUUGGCUUUUCCAAGGCUUCAUGCACCUCUCCUGCCUCAGUUUCCUCUACUACUCCACCCUGCCCAAUGUGCCAGUGUGCUCCCCUCUCUGCCACAAGACACACUAACUCCUGCAGGCUGCUCUCCUUUCUUUGCCCUACUCCCCAGCUCUCUCCCUGCCACAGCUAAUGCCUGUACGCUGAGUCCUGUCCUCUCUCCCACCCCUUACCUUCCCCCAAUGGACUGUGCCUUUGGAAGGCAGCAGAUUUUUCUCCCCCAGAUAUGUGUAUGGGCUCACUGGCCCUGCGUACCUUUUGCUGGUGAUGGUACAAGCCAGAGCACGUGUGCAUGCUCUGCUCUCACACUUCAGUUGCUGGACACAUGUUGA